AGGGAAACUUGGACUAAUACCGUAUACGUCCGUGAGGAGAAAGAUUUAUCGCCCCUAGACGGGCCCGCGUAGGAUUAGGUAGUUGGUGAGGUAACGGCUCACCAAGCCUACGAUCCUUAGCUGUAUCGAGAGGAUGAUCAGCCACACUGGGACUGAGACACGGCCCAGACUCCUACGGGAGGCAGCAGUGGGGAAUCUUGGACAAUGGGCGCAAGCCUGAUCCAGCCAUGCCGCGUGAGUGAAGAAGGCCUUCGGGUUGUAAAGCUCUUUUACCAGGGACGAUAAUGACGGUACCU
Molecule: ribosomal RNA, 296 nt
Filed under: grassland soil clone saf2_423
Lineage: Bacteria
Description: partial 16S ribosomal RNA
Rfam family: Bacterial small subunit ribosomal RNA
Source: RNAcentral